AAAUAAGAUUUUGGGUGAAAACACUUUCAACCGAUAGAUGUGGAAUGCUUGUGGUUUAUAUAAUGUACAGUUGUUUCAUAAAUUGUGAAUAGAUGUGGUUGUGAGUUGUACUAUGUGCGACGUCAUACAAAUACAGAAAAAAUUCUAUCCGUGUGGACGAAAAAUUUUCUAUACUUGUGGCGGGUCUGUCAUCUCCUGGGUCAAGGUUUCAAAAAAAAUGAACA
Molecule: long non-coding RNA, 224 nt
Filed under: Ananas comosus (pineapple)
Lineage: Eukaryota; Viridiplantae; Streptophyta; Magnoliopsida; Poales; Bromeliaceae
Description: long non-coding RNA (ACOM_LNC018575)
Source: RNAcentral